Molecule: ribosomal RNA, 696 nt
Filed under: uncultured Staphylococcus sp.
Lineage: Bacteria; Bacillati; Bacillota; Bacilli; Caryophanales; Staphylococcaceae
Description: bacterial SSU rRNA
Rfam family: Bacterial small subunit ribosomal RNA
Source: RNAcentral
AAUACAUGCAAGUCGAGCGAAUGGAUUAAGAGCUUGCUCUUAUGAAGUUAGCGGCGGACGGGUGAGUAACACGUGGAUAACCUACCUAUAAGACUGGGAUAACUUCGGGAAACCGGAGCUAAUACCGGAUAAUAUUUUGAACCGCAUGGUUCAAAAGUGAAAGACGGUCUUGCUGUCACUUAUAGAUGGAUCCGCGCUGCAUUAGCUAAUUGGUAAGGUAACGGCUUACCAAGGCAACGAUGCAUAGCCGACCUGAGAGGGUGAUCGGCCACACUGGAACUGAGACACGGUCCAGACUCCUACGGGAGGCAGCAGUAGGGAAUCUUCCGCAAUGGGCGAAAGCCUGACGGAGCAACGCCGCGUGAGUGAUGAAGGUCUUCGGAUCGUAAAACUCUGUUAUUAGGGAAGAACAUAUGUGUAAGUAACUGUGCACAUCUUGACGGUACCUAAUCAGAAAGCCACGGCUAACUACGUGCCAGCAGCCGCGGUAAUACGUAGGUGGCAAGCGUUAUCCGGAAUUAUUGGGCGUAAAGCGCGCGUAGGCGGUUUUUUAAGUCUGAUGUGAAAGCCCACGGCUCAACCGUGGAGGGUCAUUGGAAACUGGAAAACUUGAGUGCAGAAGAGGAAAGUGGAAUUCCAUGUGUAGCGGUGAAAUGCGCAGAGAUAUGGAGGAACACCAGUGGCGAAGGCGACUUU